This 388-nucleotide RNase P RNA is filed under the name Bacteroidales bacterium. RNAcentral's name for it is "RNase P RNA component class A". It matches the Rfam family "Bacterial RNase P class A". From Rfam's summary of the family: Ribonuclease P (RNase P) is a ubiquitous endoribonuclease, found in archaea, bacteria and eukarya as well as chloroplasts and mitochondria. Its best characterised activity is the generation of mature 5'-ends of tRNAs by cleaving the 5'-leader elements of precursor-tRNAs. Cellular RNase Ps are ribonucleoproteins. Lineage: Bacteria; Pseudomonadati; Bacteroidota; Bacteroidia; Bacteroidales. The record is from RNAcentral.
AAGACAGGCUUUCCUGCCGCUAUGCCUGAUCAAGGCAGAGAGGAAAGUCCGGGCAACACAGGGCAGCAUACUUCCUAACGGGAAGCUGUUUUCCGGUUUUUGACCGGAGAGCAAGAGAAAGUGCCACAGAAAAUAACCGCCCCGACAUGUGCGGGGUAAGGGUGAAAACGUGAGGUAAGAGCUCACGGCAGGUGGUGGUGACAUCAUUUGCGGGUAAACCUUAUGCGUUGAAAGACCAAAUAUACCGGGGGUUGAGGGCGGCCCGCCCAAUCCCGGAGGGUAGGUCGUUAGAGAUCAGGUGCAAACCUGUUCCCAGAUAAAUGGCAGGAGUUUCAUAUCCCCUUGGGGAUUUGGAAAACAGAACCCGGCUUAUAAGCCUGUCUUUUUU